RNAcentral lists this ribosomal RNA (428 nucleotides) under uncultured prokaryote. Its description in RNAcentral is "bacterial SSU rRNA". It matches the Rfam family "Bacterial small subunit ribosomal RNA", at positions 355 to 774 of the family's 1533-position model. The record is from RNAcentral.
UGAGGAAUAUUGCGCAAUGGGGGAAACCCUGACGCAGCGACGCCGCGUGAGUGAGGAAGGCCUUCGGGUCGUAAAGCUCUGUCAGAGGGAAAGAAGUGCAUGGUGGCUAAUACCUGCUAUGUUUGACGUUACCCUUAAAGGAAGCACCGGCUAACUCCGUGCCAGCAGCCGCGGUAAUACGGAGGGUGCAAGCGUUGUUCGGAAUCACUGGGCGUAAAGGGCGCGUAGGCGGUUUGGUAAGUUAGAUGUGAAAGCCCACGGCUUAACCGUGGAAGUGCAUUUGAUACUGCUAGGCUUGAGUACCAUAGGGGAAAGUGGAAUUCCCGGUGUAGCGGUGAAAUUCGUAGAUAUCGGGAGGAAUACCGGUGGCGAAGGCGACCUUCUGGAUGAGUACUGACGCUGAGGCGCGAAAGCGUGGGGAGCAAACA